This 380-nucleotide unclassified non-coding RNA is filed under the name Hevea brasiliensis (rubber tree). Lineage: Eukaryota; Viridiplantae; Streptophyta; Magnoliopsida; Malpighiales; Euphorbiaceae. The record is from RNAcentral.
AAAAAAGAGAACAGAGUGGCAAAGUUAUGGAAUCGGGGCAGAACGAUGAGUGCAGAGCGAUCUUGAUCAAUUUCGAGCAAACGGAGCUCCGCCUGGGAUUGCCCGGCGGCGAAAUCGGCGGCGGAAAGAGUAAUUCGGCUGGGAAGAGAGGGUUUAUGGAAACUGUGGAUUUGAAGCUUAAUUUAUCUUCUUCAAUGGCGUCUGUGAAGGAGGAAGCGACGAAUUUGGAAGAGAUUAAAAGUUCUUCGCAACGGCCUAACGAUUUUGCUAAACCUCCUUCCAAAGCACAAGUAGUGGGUUGGCCACCAGUUAGAUCAUCAAGGAAGAAUUUGGGAGCGGCGAGGAACGGCGGCGAUGACGGCGGCGCGUCGUUCGUAAAA